Molecule: ribosomal RNA, 519 nt
Filed under: uncultured bacterium
Lineage: Bacteria
Description: partial 16S ribosomal RNA
Rfam family: Bacterial small subunit ribosomal RNA
Source: RNAcentral
GACGAACGCUGGCGGCGUGCCUAAUACAUGCAAGUCGAGCGAGCUUGCCUAGAUGAUUUUAGUGCUUGCACUAAAUGAAACUAGAUACAAGCGAGCGGCGGACGGGUGAGUAACACGUGGGUAACCUGCCCAAGAGACUGGGAUAACACCUGGAAACAGAUGCUAAUACCGGAUAACAACACUAGACGCAUGUCUAGAGUUUGAAAGAUGGUUCUGCUAUCACUCUUGGAUGGACCUGCGGUGCAUUAGCUAGUUGGUAAGGUAACGGCUUACCAAGGCAAUGAUGCAUAGCCGAGUUGAGAGACUGAUCGGCCACAUUGGGACUGAGACACGGCCCAAACUCCUACGGGAGGCAGCAGUAGGGAAUCUUCCACAAUGGACGAAAGUCUGAUGGAGCAACGCCGCGUGAGUGAAGAAGGGUUUCGGCUCGUAAAGCUCUGUUGGUAGUGAAGAAAGAUAGAGGUAGUAACUGGCCUUCAUUUGACGGUAAUUACUUAGAAAGUCACGGCUAACUACGUG